Molecule: ribosomal RNA, 780 nt
Filed under: Diaporthe caatingaensis
Lineage: Eukaryota; Fungi; Ascomycota; Sordariomycetes; Diaporthales; Diaporthaceae
Description: LSU rRNA
Rfam family: Eukaryotic large subunit ribosomal RNA
Source: RNAcentral
AGUGAAGCGGCAACAGCUCAAAUUUGAAAUCUGGCCUCGGCCCGAGUUGUAAUUUGCAGAGGAUGCUUCUGGCGCGGUGCCUUCCGAGUUCCCUGGAACGGGACGCCAAAGAGGGUGAGAGCCCCGUAUGGUCGGACACCAAGCCUGUGUGAAGCUCCUUCGACGAGUCGAGUAGUUUGGGAAUGCUGCUCUAAAUGGGAGGUAAAUCUCUUCUAAAGCUAAAUACCGGCCAGAGACCGAUAGCGCACAAGUAGAGUGAUCGAAAGAUGAAAAGCACCUUGAAAAGGGGGUUAAAUAGUACGUGAAAUUGUUGAAAGGGAAGCACUUAUGACCAGACUUGGGCCGGGCGGCUCAUCAGGGGUUCUCCCCUGUGCACUCCGCCCGGUACAGGCCAGCAUCGGUUUUCGCGGGGGGAUAAGACGGUCAGGAACGUAGCACCCUCCGGGGUGUGUUAUAGCCUGGCUGACGAUACCCUCGCGGGGACCGAGGUUCGCGCUCCGCAAGGAUGCUGGCGUAAUGGUCAUCAGUGACCCGUCUUGAAACACGGACCAAGGAGUCGUCCAUUAGAGCGAGCGUUUGGGUGUAAAACCCGCACGCGUAAUGAAAGUGAACGCAGGUGAGAGCUUCGGCGCAUCAUCGACCGAUCCUGAUGUUCUCGGAAGGAUUUGAGUAAGAGUUUUAACGGACGGACCCGAAAGACAGUGAACUAUGCUUGUAUAGGGUGAAGCCAGAGGAAACUCUGGUGGAGGCUCGCAGCGGUUCUGACGUGCAAAUCGAUCG